Molecule: RNA transcript, 805 nt
Organism: Cucurbita maxima (winter squash)
Lineage: Eukaryota; Viridiplantae; Streptophyta; Magnoliopsida; Cucurbitales; Cucurbitaceae
Gene name: AP-3 complex subunit sigma-like
Exons: 6
Source: RefSeq, a predicted model, not a curated record
AUGUCGUUGUCGUCGCCGCCGUCGAGUUCCGAAGACAUGAUACUGAAGCUCUUGUUUGCGCCUCAUCCCCCCAACAUUUUUGCAUCCGCCUUGAAGAAUUCGUUAGGGCAAUUUUCAGUGGCCCAAGAACACAACUGGAUCUUUUUCGGCUUUGAGGCCCAGGCCCAACCAUUGAAAUUUUAACUUCGGCCAUCUUUCUUCGCGGGAAAGUUUCCUUUGUGGCCUGUGACAUUGCAUACGCAGAUUCCAGAAGACUAUCGACGCGACAAUUUCUUAGAUCCAGACGGUAUAAAUCGUGCGUUUGUGCAGUACUCGGAGUUCGGAACACCAUGAUACGGGCGGUGAUAGUGAUGAAUACACAGGGAAAGCCUCGGUUUGCUAAGUUCUACGAUUUUCAGCCCAUCGAGAAGCAGCUGGAGCUCAUUCGUAGCGUCUAUGGAGUACUCUGCAGUCGAGCUGAGAACGUCAGCAAUUUCGUGGAAGCUGAGUCCAUCUUCGGUCCGGACUCUCGUCUUGUAUACAAACACUUCGCCACCCUUUAUUUUGUGUUUGUCUUUAACAGUUCUGAGAAUGAGCUCGCCAUGCUUGACCUGAUACAAGAUGCAUACUAUUUUUGAUGAAAUCAUUUCCGGUAGCCAAGUGCUAGAGACUUGUUCUUCUGAAGUAUUGAAGACUGUCGAAGAAAUAUCCAAGUUAGAAGCAGCGUCAAAUUCCAUCAACUUCGUAUCCAAAACAGUUUCGGGUUGGCGGGGUUGAGUUUUCUGUUUUAAGCGAGCUUGUUAAACAAUAAAGUACGCCAUUUGAA